Molecule: small RNA, 197 nt
Filed under: Planctomycetota bacterium
Lineage: Bacteria; Pseudomonadati; Planctomycetota
Description: Planctomycetes bacterium 6S RNA
Source: RNAcentral
GCGUCCCUGCCAUGUUCGACCACGGAGGCAUGCGUUUUUUGAACCGAUGCUGAUUGAACCCUGGGGUCCGCUCGAAGCCGCGACAGCCGGACAUGCUCUGAUGCGUCAGAGAGCUCCGGCCGGCCCGAAAAGACACCCACCUUUUUUGCGAAGGGUUCAAAAAAUUGGCCUCCGACCGGCAUUACGGUGGAGACGCA